Nothobranchius furzeri (turquoise killifish) is the source of this 1795-nucleotide non-coding RNA. NCBI's taxonomy places the organism in Eukaryota, Metazoa, Chordata, Actinopteri, Cyprinodontiformes, Nothobranchiidae. The record is from RefSeq and is a predicted model, not a curated record.
AUAAUAAACACAAUGUUGUUGUCAAUAGCUUAUCAGACAUCCUGAAGUUCCUACAAGAAAGAGUUGACAACACUAAAACCUUUAACAUAAUGUGACAAGGGACGACCUUUACCAGAGAGGUCUGAAACAGCGGGCCAGACAGAAGCAGGCUUCCCACAAAAACCAGCUAAUUGUUUCCUUUAUUGGAGAACACGACAUUGAUGAAGGAGCACUACGCCGAGAGUUCCUAACUGAAAUGAUGCGAGGCCUUGAGUUGAACUUAUUUGAAGGAGUUUCAUGCAAAGGCAAAACCCCAAAUAUAGUAUCUCUUACUACCAGGAAAACAGAUACAGGUAUGUACAGUAUGAUGCUGCUCUGCAGUGUAACUUGGCUUGUUUUGUGUUCAGGAUCUGUGGGGAGAUCAAUGCCACCAGCUUGGUUCAAGCAGGACCAGCACCGAAUUUCUUUUCUACUUGGUCUUACCAUUUCUUGCGUCAUGGACAAAUAACAAAUGAAGAUGUGCCAGAGGUGACUGAUAAGGAAAUCCAGAACCUGAUUCAGGAGGUAAAUUAAACAGAAUAAUUUAUUUUCUGUAAAUUGUACUAACAAGUGUUUCUGAUUGAAGGUCGAACGUGCCGAAGAAGACGCACUGACAGACCUUUCUGAUGCCAUUGUAGCAUGUGGCUACACUGGUCAAUUCACAGCAAUUGCAAAAGGGCCAUCAUUGAGGCCAUCAGUUUGCAUUCGGUGAUGAGACUCAUACCGAUGCUAAGUCAGCUUAGAGAAGGACUGGCCAUCUAGGGUUUGGAUGAGCUGUUGCCACAACACCACCAGGCACUUCAGCCCCUCUUUCUUCCUGGGAACCUUAAACAGGUGGAUGCAGACUUCGUUGUGGAGGCACUGGCUCCUCAGUACAGUGACAAUGGAUCAGUAAGACACAAAGGAAGUGGACAUGAUCAACUUUUUGCAGGACCUCUUGCAAAACCUGGAAGAAGGAGGAACAGAUGACCAAGAUGGGAGCCCAUCAGAUGGCUGUGGAGCAAAGCAGUUGUCAGUGCAAGGAUUUUUUUCAGUGGGUUUCAGGCCAGGCACAUUUGCCACUAACAGACACAGAAAGAGAAUUUUACAAGAUAACUAAAUGUUGAUCACGACAGUACCACCCGGUAUGGACCACACUUAAUCACCUUACCUACAUGGCACGUUACUACAUACACUGACUUUGAAAGUCAGCUUACUCAGGCAGUCUGUGAUAGAUUUGAUUUUAGCAGACAUUAAGUGAAAACAAGAUGGCCACUGUUCUGGGUUCAGGUUACUGUAUAAUGGUUCAAAUUUAACUUUGAAUCCAAAAAGACAAAUGGUUUUGUUAAAUAAUGUAAUGUUUUGGAGCUAGAAAGCGACAUUGUUACAUGAAUCCAUAAAGUUAGGCUUAUUGCCAUUUCAAAUACAUGUUAUGUAUUUCUUUUGUAACAUUAAUAAAAGCACUGGAACUGAUCUCUUGAUUUUUUUAUUUCAAGUACACAUUAAUCUGACAAAGCAGCAUUAACAUAUUCUCUGCACAAUAGAUAAAGUUCCUUAGUGUUUGAACGCUCCCAAUUUUGUGCCAGUAGCAACUGCAGUUCAGCAUCUUAGGUGUGUUCUUGCUGUGUCUUUCUAAAUCCAUGCUUUCGUUCUUUUUUAAACACAGAAACAGUUUUGUUUACCUGUUAGUAGCUACAGUUUCGCCGACGGCUGCCGGCUUCUUCAGGCUGACGCUGUUGGUGGCGCGUCACUUCCUUCUCCGUUUAUCUGCGGGCAGCAGAGACAACUGCCCGCAGAU